Molecule: ribosomal RNA, 1097 nt
Filed under: uncultured organism
Description: bacterial SSU rRNA
Rfam family: Bacterial small subunit ribosomal RNA
Source: RNAcentral
GGUACUGAGACACGGACCAGACUCCUACGGGAGGCAGCAGUGAGGAAUAUUGGUCAAUGGGCGCAAGCCUGAACCAGCCAUGCCGCGUGCAGGAUGACGGCUCUAGAAGUUGUAAACUGCUUUUGUAUGGGAAUAAACUGUCCGGUUCUCCGGGCAUUGAAGGUACCAUACGAAUAAUGAUCGGCUAACUCCGUGCCAGCAGCCGCGGUAAUACGGAGGAUCCAAGCGUUAUCCGGAUUUAUUGGGUUUAAAGGGUGUGCAGGCGGAGUAAUAAGUCAGUGGUGACAUCUUGCGGCUCAACCGUAAAAUUGCCAUUGAUACUGUUAUUCUUGAGUUCAGUUGAGGUGGGCGGAAUGAGUAAUGUAGCGGUGAAAUGCUUAGAUAUUACUCAGAACACCGAUUGCGUAGGCAGCUCGCUAAACUGUAACUGACGCUGAGGCACGAAAGCGUGGGGAGCGAACAGGAUUAGAUACCCUGGUAGUCCACGCCGUAAACUAUGAAUACUGGAUGUGUGCGAUACACUGUACGCGUCUGAGCGAAAGCAUUAAGUAUUCCACCUGGGGAGUACGUCCGCAAGGAUGAAACUCAAAGGAAUUGACGGGGGCCCGCACAAGCGGAGGAACAUGUGGUUUAAUUCGAUGAUACGCGAGGAACCUUACCUGGGCUUAAAUGCAGUAUGACCGUUCUCGAAAGAGAUCUUCCCUUCGGGGCAAAUUGCAAGGUGCUGCAUGGUUGUCGUCAGCUCGUGCCGUGAGGUGUCGGGUUAAGUCCCAUAACGAGCGCAACCCCUACCGUUAGUUGCCAGCGAGUAAUGUCGGGGACUCUAGCGGAACUGCCGGUGUAAACCGCGAGGAAGGUGGGGAUGACGUCAAAUCAGCACGGCCCUUAUGUCCAGGGCUACACACGUGUUACAAUGGUCGGUACAGUGGGCAGCUACCCAGCGAUGGGAUGCUAAUCUCCAAAACCGAUCCCAGUUCGGAUUGAAGUCUGCAACUCGACUUCAUGAAGGUGGAUUCGCUAGUAAUCGCAUAUCAGCAACGAUGCGGUGAAUACGUUCCCGGGCCUUGUACACACCGCCCGUCAAGCCAUGAAGCUUG